RNAcentral lists this transfer RNA (86 nucleotides) under Acidobacteriota bacterium. Its description in RNAcentral is "tRNA-Leu". It matches the Rfam family "tRNA". Rfam says of the family: Transfer RNA (tRNA) molecules are approximately 80 nucleotides in length. The record is from RNAcentral. Lineage: Bacteria; Pseudomonadati; Acidobacteriota.
GCCGGAGUGGCGAAAUUGGUAUACGCAAUAGACUCAAAAUCUAUCGAGGUUCACUCCUCAUGUCGGUUCGAGUCCGACCUCCGGCA